Molecule: RNA transcript, 3041 nt
Organism: Dreissena polymorpha
Lineage: Eukaryota; Metazoa; Mollusca; Bivalvia; Myida; Dreissenidae
Gene name: E3 ubiquitin-protein ligase UBR4-like
Exons: 4
Source: RefSeq, a predicted model, not a curated record
CCUAGAGAAACCAGAGCCAACACCAGCCAUUGUGGGACACCUGGAGAGCAGUGAGCGAUGUCACUUCGUAUCCCAGAUGAUGCCAGCCUUCUGGAGAUUGCUGGCUGCGAGGCAUGCCAAUCCCAUGCUGGCUCCUGUAUGCCUGCCCGCUGAAGAAGAUUGGAGACAGUGUGUCCAGUGUGGCUGAGUAUUUGAUGACCAAGCGUACGCCAUUCGUCAAGAAACUAGUUUGAAAGUUGCUACUCUUCAUCUGUGGAACAAAAGAGAAGUACCGAGAGUUGCAGGACCUGCACUCCAUUGAGCUGAACCUGCGGAGUGUUACCAGCCAGUGCCAGAAGAGUUGGCUGUCAGCUGGAGAUGUGGCCCCCACAGCGUUCUUCUCCCGUAUGACUCUGCUGGUCCUGGGCUCAGUAAAGAGUCUUAUCCUGCAUCUAAUGGAGGACCACAGCCAGGUUAGCAACACAUGUGGAGAACAUGCCUGCCCAUGUCCAGCGCCUUCCUGCUGCAACCAUGUGAAAGACGUCUGACCUCGAACAUAUCCCAUAAAAUUAACUGGGGUCCGAUAAUAUUUUCGAAAUUGUCGGACCUCGUGUCGGACAAAAGAACAAUGUGUAAAAGUUUGGUAAAAAAUAAACACAACAAUAGGUUUAUGUAAAAAAAAAUACAGACUGUUUUCCAUUUAUUUUACUUUGAUAGAUUUUUAUGCCACCCUUGAAGAAGAGGGGGUAUAUUAUUUUGCACAUGUCGGUCCGUUGGUCGGUCCGUCCACCAUAUGGUUUCCGGAUGAUAACUCAAGAACGCUUUGACCUAGGAUCAUGAAACUUCAUAGGUCCUUUGAUCAUGACUGACAGAUGACCCCUAUUGAUGUUCAGGUCACUAGGUCAAAGGUCACAGUGAGUCAACAUAGUAAAAUGGCUUUCGGAUGAUAUAUCAAGAAUGCUUAGGCCUAGGAUCAUGAAACUUCAUAGGUAUAUUGGUCAUGACUGGCAGAUGACCCCUAUUGAUUUUCAGUUUAUUAAGUCAAAGGUCAAAGUCACAGUGACUCGAAACAGUAAAAUGGUUUCCUGAUGAUAACUCAAGAAUGCUUACGCCUACCAUCAUGAAACUUCAUAGGUACAUUGACUGGCAGAUGACCCCUAUUAAUUUUCAGGUCACUAGGUCAAAGGUCAAGGUCACAGUGACUCGAAACAGUAAAAUGGUUUCCUGAUGAUAACUCAAGAAUAAAUAGGCCUAGGAUCAUGAAACUUCAUAGGUACAUUGAUUAUGACUGGCAGAUUACCCCUAUUGAUUUUCAGGUCACUAGGUCAAAGGUCAAUGUGACAGUGACAAAAAAUCUAUUCACACAAAUGCUGCCACUACAACUGACAGCCUAUAUGGGGGGCAUGCAUUUUUACAAACAGUCCUUGUUCAAGUUUAAAAUUAAACGGAAUCAAACAGCUUUUUUUUCUGGUGAUGUAACAAACUCCAAGCGUGAUUCUUAAAAUCACUGCUCCCGCUUAGAAAAUUCAAAGUGAGUUAAAUCAAGAUUUAACAGGAGUAUUAAUCGCAAAUUAACGCGCACAGUUAAUUCCGGUAAUCUUGUGCGUCCGGUAAUCUUGCACACUCCGCGGUUGCGAUGACGAAUGGUUUGCUUUAGUGAUGAAAGAUGGCAUUUCACAUUUUUAAGAAUUAACGGAUUUAUAGGUACAUAUGCAAAAUAAAAUUUGAUCAUUAUAUUUUAACACCGGUUGCGUCACCCCUAUACGUUGUACAUGUUUUGUUAACACUGACCUACUAACGAUAAAUUCGAAAUGAAUUACAAAUUCCCUGCAGUCUUUAGCGUUUUUAUUAAAUUAAGUUAAGAAUUCAUAAAUCUGACGUGUAAUUUAGCAUUCCAUUGCACAAUCAGUUAUGGUAUUUUUGGCCAUUGAAAAUUGCAUCAGACAACAUUGUCAUCAUUUCCCGCCAUUCUGUCAACACAUUUGAUAUCAUCUUCGCACGCGCAAUCGCCCAGUUUUAAUAUUUUCUGUAUUAAAACUAUCGAAGCAUGAUUAGGGGUUAAAUUAAACCUGUUAUGCAAAAACAUUUUUUUCACGCUAGAAAUCAAUCAUUAAAUUUUUUUAUUGUUUCUUUUGCUACAGUCAACAGAAUGCCACCACCAUCAUCAUCAAAACAGCACUAGAAAUCCACAUUAAAUUUUAAUGGUUUUACAAACUGAUUAUUAAACUAAUUUUCUGGAUUGAUUUUUGUCCCUAAUUGGACACCAUAUGUCUAAAAUUUUGCCUAAAUGAUGUCAUUACACCAAGUGCGCAAGAUUACACUGUGAUAGUUUGAAAAUGAGGUGAGUUUGUUUGUUUUGAAAUCCAAUCGGACAGUUCUUCACUGAUUUAAUCAGAUAUUUUUGUGUUAAUAAGCACAUGAACUUCUUAUUUUCAUAAUAAAUUUAGAUAAUAUGUUCUCAAUUAAUAUAAGAACAUGUUUUAAACCAAUUGACCCUUAACUGCGCAAGAUUACUGGACAGGUACAUCGUAUCACUUUAUUUCUGAUACGGCUGGAGAUUGAACAGAAUUUAAAAAUUACUAGUAAACAAAAGUAACAAAGGGUAAACAACAGCGAAAAAUACCUGUUUCGGACCAGACGUCGCCAUCUUGAUCAUCACUUUGAAUGUACUAGUGUUUUAUAUUGCUGUUUACUAUUACUUUUAAUGUAAAAAAAACAACCAAAACAGGUCUGUUCGAAGAACGUUCAUAUAAAUAUUUCAGACCAGUAAGGAUGAUUCUAGCCAGUUGACAUAUGUUUUCAUCUAUUUUCAUUUAACACCCAGUUAUUGAUUUGCGUUUGAUGCAGCUUAGAAUUGCCAAGAAAAAGGCUUUAGUUAUUUUUGAUCUUAUUGAUUUAACAUUUGAUCUUUCAUCAACACCAACCAUAAGUAACAUCGUGGCCUGAAAAUCUUUUUUGAAGAUAAUUUUGUUACCAUGUUUUCAUGAAACGGUUGUUUUUAUUUUUAUUGUAUUUAAAAGUGUUAAAUAUUGUGGAUGUCAUAAUAAUAAAAAUAAACUCUA